This 499-nucleotide ribosomal RNA is filed under the name uncultured bacterium. Its description in RNAcentral is "partial 16S ribosomal RNA". It matches the Rfam family "Bacterial small subunit ribosomal RNA", at positions 30 to 523 of the family's 1533-position model. The record is from RNAcentral.
AUUGAACGCUGGCGGAAUGCUUUACACAUGCAAGUCGAACGGCAGCACGGACUUCGGUCUGGUGGCGAGUGGCGAACGGGUGAGUAAUGUAUCGGAACGUGCCCAGUCGUGGGGGAUAACGUAGUGAAAAUUACGCUAAUACCGCAUACGAUCUAUGGAUGAAAGCGGGGAUCGCAAGACCUCGCGCGAUUGGAGCGGCCGAUAUCAGAUUAGGUAGUUGGUGGGGUAAAGGCCCACCAAGCCAACGAUCUGUAGCUGGUCUGAGAGGACGACCAGCCACACUGGAACUGAGACACGGUCCAGACUCCUACGGGAGGCAGCAGUGGGGAAUUUUGGACAAUGGGCGAAAGCCUGAUCCAGCCAUUCCGCGUGCAGGAUGAAGGCCCUCGGGUUGUAAACUGCUUUUGUACAGAACGAAAAGGUUUCUACUAAUACUAGGAGCUCAUGACGGUACUGUAAGAAUAAGCACCGGCUAAUUACGUGCCAGCCGCCGCGGUAA